Molecule: unclassified non-coding RNA, 343 nt
Filed under: soil metagenome
Description: partial contains 5.8S ribosomal RNA, internal transcribed spacer 2, and large subunit ribosomal RNA
Rfam family: 5.8S ribosomal RNA (bases 1-120)
Source: RNAcentral
GAUGAAGAACGCAGCGAAAUGCGAUACGUAAUGUGAAUUGCAGAAUUCAGUGAACCAUCGAGUCUUUGAACGCACAUUGCGCCCUCUGGUAUUCCGGAGGGCAUGCCUGUCCGAGCGUCAUUGCUGCCCUCAAGCACGGCUUGUGUGUUGGGCCCCGUCCUCCUUCCGGGGGACGGGUCCGAAAGGCAGCGGCGGCACCGCGUCCGGUCCUCAAGCGUAUGGGGCUUUGUCACUCGCUUUGUAGGCCUGGCCGGCGCUUGCCGAUCAACCAAACUUUUUAUCAGGUUGACCUCGGAUCAGGUAGGGAUACCCGCUGAACUUAAGCAUAUCAAUAAGCGGAGGA